AGCAAUCAGAAUACAGACGUAAAUUAACUUACGCCCCGUUUGGAUCAUUGGAAUUGAAUUCCAUUCUAAUAAUAGUAAUUUAGGCAUAUAUCAAUUAAGCUAAUUCGGUUUUAUGCAAAAUAUAUUUGUAUAUUAUUAUUAGCAAGAUGUCGGAGAUAUUUAUAAGCUACAUUUUUACUAUAGAUGAGUGAGAUGAAGAGUGUCAUGUAAGUUACAGAGUAGAAACAAAUUCUACUAAUGCAUAAAAUUAUUUCUCAUCCUCCACCCUAUGAAUUUGAGAUAGGCUUAUAUAUGAACUUUGGAAAGUGGUGGAAUGUCAAAUUCUAAACUAAAUAAGUUACUUUAUCGAGUGAAUUCCAAUUCCUCUAAAAUGAAGGGAUCCAAACGUCCCGUUAGCAAAAAGAGCAGAUGCAAAUGCACCUUAGCAAUUGAAUUCACAUACCUGCAUUUUUUAACCUACCGGGUAUGAGAAAACAGUGAAUUCAUGACUACUGACAGGUAACAGCUAGUUAACAAAUUCUGAGUAUAAUAAGGUCCGGCAAAGUCUCAACCUACAUAUGCCAUUACAUUGUAUUAAAUCUAGGCAGAGCAGCCAUUGACAAGUACAGCAUGGUACUCAUUUGGUCGUGUAACCCUGCCUGAAGGGGUUUGAUUGACUAAACAAGUACCAGAUUCAUGUCAACCCUGCGACUCCCGUAAGCGAGCAAUCAGUUCAUCCUGCAAAAGCAAAAUGCAGUCACAUUUUCGAAUUGGUUCUAUGGUGAUAUAAUGGCUAUAUAAUGAAUAAUAUAAGCAUCAACAAAUUUAACUGACUUUUUUAUUCUGCUUCUAGGUUUUCUUAAUAGAAUAUUUGUCGCCCGCUAGUUCAUAUUUGAACUAAACCGUGACAAAUAAAAAAGAACGAAGGGAGUACAAAAUAUCUCCUUUUCUAAUAGCACAUCUGGUGGCGUUGAAUACUAAUAAAAAAAUUAAACCACCAACCAUAACCUGAUGGCACUAAUCAUAUAAACAAAAAUGUAAGAGCAUUGUUAACAACUUCAGCCCUAGAUCGGUUGCAUGGAGAUCGAAAGUGAUUGAGGGUUUGUUCGGUUAUGAGCAGAUUGAAGGGAAUUUGUGAGGAUUAAAUCCCUUGCUGGUCAAAUUUGAAUAGAAAGUGAUUUGAUCCCCCCAAUCUCCUUCGAUCCCCAUGCAACCUAACAAGGCCUGAGUGAGAGUAAAUCCCUUUCAAUUCAGUUUUCACUAUCGAUCCACU
This 1252-nucleotide long non-coding RNA is filed under the name Zea mays. RNAcentral describes it as "long non-coding RNA (ZMAY_LNC002183)". The record is from RNAcentral. Lineage: Eukaryota; Viridiplantae; Streptophyta; Magnoliopsida; Poales; Poaceae.